AUUGAACGCUGGCGGCAUGCUUUACACAUGCCAGUCGAACGGUAACAGGCCUUCGGGUGCUGACGAGUGGCGAACGGGUGAGUAAUGCAUCGGAACGUGCCCAGAGGUGGGGGAUAACGCAGCGAAAGCUGUGCUAAUACCGCAUGUGAUCUGAGGAUGAAAGCGGGGGACCAGGCAGCAAUGUUUGGCCUCGCGCCUUUGGAGCGGCCGAUGUCAGAUUUGGUAGUUGGUGGGGUAAAGGCCUACCAAGCCGACGAUCUGUAGCUGGUCUGAGAGGACGACCAGCCACACUGGGACUGAGACACGGCCCAGACUCCUACGGGAGGCAGCAGUGGGGAAUUUUGGACAAUGGGCGCAAGCCUGAUCCAGCAAUGCCGCGUGCGGGAAGAAGGCCUUCGGGUUGUAAACCGCUUUUGUACGGAACGAAAAGGCUCUGGCUAAUACCUGGGGCUGAUGACGGUACCGUAAGAAUAAGCACCGGCUAACUACGUG
Molecule: ribosomal RNA, 492 nt
Filed under: uncultured bacterium
Lineage: Bacteria
Description: partial 16S ribosomal RNA
Rfam family: Bacterial small subunit ribosomal RNA
Source: RNAcentral